GAUGAACGCUGGCGGCGUGCUUAACACAUGCAAGUCGAACGAUGAAGCCCAGCUUGCUGGGUGGAUUAGUGGCGAACGGGUGAGUAACACGUGAGUAACCUGCCCUUGACUCUGGGAUAAGCCUGGGAAACUGGGUCUAAUACCGGAUACGACCAUUGCCCGCAUGGGUUGGUGGUGGAAAGCUUUUGUGGUUUUGGAUGGACUCGCGGCCUAUCAGCUUGUUGGUGAGGUAAUGGCUCACCAAGGCGACGACGGGUAGCCGGCCUGAGAGGGUGACCGGCCACACUGGGACUGAGACACGGCCCAGACUCCUACGGGAGGCAGAAGUGGGGAAUAUUGCACAAUGGGCGAAAGCCUGAUGCAGCGACGCCGCGUGAGGGAUGACGGCCUUCGGGUUGUAAACCUCUUUCAGUAGGGAAGAAGCGAGAGUGACGGUACCUGCAGAAGAAGCGCCGGCUAACUACGUG
RNAcentral lists this ribosomal RNA (467 nucleotides) under uncultured bacterium. RNAcentral describes it as "partial 16S ribosomal RNA". It matches the Rfam family "Bacterial small subunit ribosomal RNA", at positions 28 to 507 of the family's 1533-position model. The record is from RNAcentral.